This 1469-nucleotide small RNA is filed under the name Pan troglodytes (chimpanzee). Its description in RNAcentral is "retained intron". Lineage: Eukaryota; Metazoa; Chordata; Mammalia; Primates; Hominidae. The record is from RNAcentral.
AGACAAGCCUGCUUGCCGGAGCUCAGCAGACACCAGGCCUUCCGGGCAGGCCUGGCCCACCGUGGGCCUCAGAGCUGCUGCUGGGGCAUUCAGAACCGGCUCUCCAUUGGCAUUGGGACCAGAGACCCCGCAAGUGGCCUGUUUGCCUGGACAUCCACCUGUACGUCCCCAGGUUUCGGGAGGCCCAGGGGCGAUGCCAGACCCCGCGGCGCACCUGCCCUUCUUCUACGGCAGCAUCUCGCGUGCCGAGGCCGAGGAGCACCUGAAGCUGGCGGGCAUGGCGGACGGGCUCUUCCUGCUGCGCCAGUGCCUGCGCUCGCUGGGUGGCUAUGUGCUGUCGCUCGUGCACGAUGUGCGCUUCCACCACUUUCCCAUCGAGCGCCAGCUCAACGGCACCUACGCCAUUGCCGGCGGCAAAGCGCACUGUGGACCGGCAGAGCUCUGCGAGUUCUACUCGCGCGACCCCGACGGGCUGCCCUGCAACCUGCGCAAGCCGUGCAACCGGCCGUCGGGCCUCGAGCCGCAGCCGGGGGUCUUCGACUGCCUGCGAGACGCCAUGGUGCGUGACUACGUGCGCCAGACGUGGAAGCUGGAGGGCGAGGCCCUGGAGCAGGCCAUCAUCAGCCAGGCCCCGCAGGUGGAGAAGCUCAUUGCUACGACGGCCCACGAGCGGAUGCCCUGGUACCACAGCAGCCUGACGCGUGAGGAGGCCGAGCGCAAACUUUACUCUGGGGCGCAGACCGACGGCAAGUUCCUGCUGAGGCCGCGGAAGGAGCAGGGCACAUACGCCCUGUCCCUCAUCUAUGGGAAGACAGUGUACCACUACCUCAUCAGCCAAGACAAGGCGGGCAAGUACUGCAUUCCCGAGGGCACCAAGUUUGACACGCUCUGGCAGCUGGUGGAGUAUCUGAAGCUGAAGGCGGACGGGCUCAUCUACUGCCUGAAGGAGGCCUGCCCCAACAGCAGUGCCAGCAACGCCUCAGGGGCUGCUGCUCCCACACUCCCAGCCCACCCAUCCACGUUGACUCAUGUGAGUUGGGGGCACCUGGAGUGUGGCCUUGGGGAUGGAGCUGGGGGGUGGCUGUGGGGGAGGCUGGGAUGGAGGCUGAGGUGCCUGUGGAGCGGAAGAAGCUCUCUCUCCACUGUCUCUGGGAGUCCUCAGUGGAUAUAGGUCUCAUGAGAGGGGCUGGACGUCCCCAGCUCAGGCCUUGCUGACCCUGUGGCCUUUAGCCUCAGAGACGGAUCGACACCCUCAACUCAGAUGGAUACACCCCUGAGCCAGGUGAGCGGGCAGAGGUGGGGACGCAGGUUGGGGCUCAUGCUGAGCCGAGAGCGGGGUCCCUGUCAGGGCUGUGGGGUUUCACGGGGGACGCUGUGGGCCGGGCCAGGCUGUGGCAGUUGGCUUGGUUAACACCUGUGCACACAUGUGCCCACACCCAUCACACCUGCCUGUGCACAUGUACGUCCCA